GGCAGUUCUCGGGUGACACACCCUGGAAUCGGGCUCCCUCCUCUCUGGUUCCGGGUGUGUCACCUGAGAAUCACA
Myotis brandtii (Brandt's bat) is the source of this 75-nucleotide non-coding RNA. NCBI's taxonomy places the organism in Eukaryota, Metazoa, Chordata, Mammalia, Chiroptera, Vespertilionidae. The record is from Rfam.